CCUACGGGAGGCAGCAGUGAGGACUAUUGGUCAAUGGGCUUACGCCUGAACCAGCCAAGUCGCGUGAAGGAAGACUGCCCUAUGGGUUGUAAACCUCUUUUGUCAGGGAGCACCGCCGGCUACGUGUAGCCGGCCUGAUAGUCCCUGAAGAAAAAGCAUCGGCUAACUCCGUGCCAGCAGCCGCGGUAAUACGGAGGAUGCGAGCGUUAUCCGGAUUUAUUGGGUUUAAAGGGUGCGUAGGCGGAAUGCCAAGUCAGCGGUAAAAUCGCGGGGCUCAACCUCGCUCAGCCGUUGAAACUGGCGGUCUUGAGUGGGCGAGAAGUAGGCGGAAUGCGUGGUGUAGCGGUGAAAUGCAUAGAGAUCACGCAGAACUCCGAUUGCGAAGGCAGCAUACCGGCGCCCAACUGACGCUGAAGCACGAAAGCGUGGGUAUCGAACAGGAUUAGAUACCCCGGUAGUC
RNAcentral lists this ribosomal RNA (460 nucleotides) under uncultured bacterium. RNAcentral's name for it is "partial 16S ribosomal RNA". It matches the Rfam family "Bacterial small subunit ribosomal RNA", at positions 338 to 795 of the family's 1533-position model. The record is from RNAcentral.